CAGUAGCGGCGAGUGAAGCGGCAAGAGCUCAGAUUUGAAAUCGUGUUUCGGCACGAGUUGUAGAGUGUAGGCGGGAGUCUCUGUGGAGCGCGGUGUCCAAGUCCCUUGGAACAGGGUGCCUGAGAGGGUGAGAGCCCCGUAGGGUGCUGCGCGAAGCUUUUGAGGCCCUGCUGACGAGUCGAGUUGUUUGGGAAUGCAGCUCCAAGCGGGUGGUAAAUUCCAUCUAAGGCUAAAUAUUGGCGAGAGACCGAUAGCGAACAAGUACUGUGAAGGAAAGAUGAAAAGCACUUUGAAAAGAGAGUGAAACAGCACGUGAAAUUGUUGAAAGGGAAGGGUAUUGGGCUCGACAUGGGGGGUGCGCACCGCUGUCUCUUGUAGGCGGCGCUCUGGGCGCCCUCUGGGCCAGCAUCGGUUCCUGCUGCGGGAGAAGGGGCUCCGGAAAGUGGCUCUUCGGAGUGUUAUAGCCGGGGCCAGAUGCCGCGUGUGGGGACCGAGGACUGCGGC
Molecule: ribosomal RNA, 504 nt
Filed under: Pichia manshurica
Lineage: Eukaryota; Fungi; Ascomycota; Pichiomycetes; Pichiales; Pichiaceae
Description: eukaryotic LSU rRNA
Rfam family: Eukaryotic large subunit ribosomal RNA
Source: RNAcentral